UUCGGGGAGAGCGGCGGACGGGUGAGUAACGCGUGGGAACGUGCCUUUCGCUACGGGAUAGCCCAGGGAAACUUGGAUUAAUACCGUAUACGCCCUUUGGGGGAAAGAAUUUCGGCGAAAGAUCGGCCCGCGUCUGAUUAGGUAGUUGGUGGGGUAAUGGCCUACCAAGCCGACGAUCAGUAGCUGGUUUGAGAGGAUGAUCAGCCACACUGGGACUGAGACACGGCCCAGACUCCUACGGGAGGCAGCAGUGGGGAAUCUUGGACAAUGGGGGCAACCCUGAUCCAGCCAUGCCGCGUGAACGAUGAAGGCCCUAGGGUUGUAAAGUUCUUUCAGCGAGGAAGAUAAUGACGGUACUCGCAGAAGAAGCCCCGGCUAACUCCGUGCCAGCAGCCGCGGUAAUACGGAGGGGGCUAGCGUUGUUCGGAAUUACUGGGCGUAAAGCGCACGUAGGCGGAUCAGUCAGUUAGGGGUGAAAUCCCGGGGCUCAACCCCGGAACUGCCUUUAAUACUGCUGAUCUGGAGGUCGAGAGAGGUGAGUGGAAUUCCGAGUGUAGAGGUGAAAUUCGUAGAUAUUCGGAGGAACACCAGUGGCGAAGGCGGCUCACUGGCUCGAUACUGACGCUGAGGUGCGAAAGCGUGGGGAGCAA
This 650-nucleotide ribosomal RNA is filed under the name uncultured marine bacterium. RNAcentral describes it as "bacterial SSU rRNA". It matches the Rfam family "Bacterial small subunit ribosomal RNA", at positions 85 to 771 of the family's 1533-position model. The record is from RNAcentral.